Unclassified non-coding RNA from Pongo abelii (Sumatran orangutan), 118 nucleotides. It matches the Rfam family "Metazoan signal recognition particle RNA". From Rfam's summary of the family: The signal recognition particle (SRP) is a universally conserved ribonucleoprotein. The record is from Ensembl. Lineage: Eukaryota; Metazoa; Chordata; Mammalia; Primates; Hominidae.
GCCGGGUGCGGUGGCUCACGCCUGUAAUCCCAGCACUUUGGGAGGCCGAGGCUGGUGGAUCACCUGAGGUCAGGACCUCAGAGAUCGGCCUGACCAACAUGGUGAAACCCUGUCUCUA